RNAcentral lists this ribosomal RNA (2111 nucleotides) under Salmonella enterica subsp. enterica serovar Javiana. RNAcentral's name for it is "partial 23S ribosomal RNA". It matches the Rfam family "Bacterial large subunit ribosomal RNA", at positions 711 to 2802 of the family's 2925-position model. The record is from RNAcentral. Lineage: Bacteria; Pseudomonadati; Pseudomonadota; Gammaproteobacteria; Enterobacterales; Enterobacteriaceae.
AGACCCGAAACCCGGUGAUCUAGCCAUGGGCAGGUUGAAGGUUGGGUAACACUAACUGGAGGACCGAACCGACUAAUGUUGAAAAAUUAGCGGAUGACCUGUGGCUGGGGGUGAAAGGCCAAUCAAACCGGGAGAUAGCUGGUUCUCCCCGAAAGCUAUUUAGGUAGCGCCUCGUGAAUUCAUCUCCGGGGGUAGAGCACUGUUUCGGCUAGGGGGCCAUCCCGGCUUACCAACCCGAUGCAAACUGCGAAUACCGGAGAAUGUUAUCACGGGAGACACACGGCGGGUGCUAACGUCCGUCGUGAAGAGGGAAACAACCCAGACCGCCAGCUAAGGUCCCAAAGUCAUGGUUAAGUGGGAAACGAUGUGGGAAGGCCCAGACAGCCAGGAUGUUGGCUUAGAAGCAGCCAUCAUUUAAAGAAAGCGUAAUAGCUCACUGGUCGAGUCGGCCUGCGCGGAAGAUGUAACGGGGCUAAACCAUGCACCGAAGCUGCGGCAGCGACACUCAGGUGUUGUUGGGUAGGGGAGCGUUCUGUAAGCCUGCGAAGGUGGCCUGUGAGGGUUGCUGGAGGUAUCAGAAGUGCGAAUGCUGACAUAAGUAACGAUAAAGCGGGUGAAAAGCCCGCUCGCCGGAAGACCAAGGGUUCCUGUCCAACGUUAAUCGGGGCAGGGUGAGUCGACCCCUAAGGCGAGGCCGAAAGGCGUAGUCGAUGGGAAACGGGUUAAUAUUCCCGUACUUGGUGUUACUGCGAAGGGGGGACGGAGAAGGCUAUGUUGGCCGGGCGACGGUUGUCCCGGUUUAAGCGUGUAGGUGUGUGUUCCAGGUAAAUCCGGUUCACUUUAACACUGAGGCGUGAUGACGAGGCACUACGGUGCUGAAGCAACAAAUGCCCUGCUUCCAGGAAAAGCCUCUAAGCAUCAGGUAACAUCAAAUCGUACCCCAAACCGACACAGGUGGUCAGGUAGAGAAUACCAAGGCGCUUGAGAGAACUCGGGUGAAGGAACUAGGCAAAAUGGUGCCGUAACUUCGGGAGAAGGCACGCUGACACGUAGGUGAAGUGAUUUACUCAUGGAGCUGAAGUCAGUCGAAGAUACCAGCUGGCUGCAACUGUUUAUUAAAAACACAGCACUGUGCAAACACGAAAGUGGACGUAUACGGUGUGACGCCUGCCCGGUGCCGGAAGGUUAAUUGAUGGGGUCAGCGCAAGCGAAGCUCCUGAUCGAAGCCCCGGUAAACGGCGGCCGUAACUAUAACGGUCCUAAGGUAGCGAAAUUCCUUGUCGGGUAAGUUCCGACCUGCACGAAUGGCGUAAUGAUGGCCAGGCUGUCUCCACCCGAGACUCAGUGAAAUUGAACUCGCUGUGAAGAUGCAGUGUACCCGCGGCAAGACGGAAAGACCCCGUGAACCUUUACUAUAGCUUGACACUGAACAUUGAGCCUUGAUGUGUAGGAUAGGUGGGAGGCUUUGAAGUGUGGACGCCAGUCUGCAUGGAGCCGACCUUGAAAUACCACCCUUUAAUGUUUGAUGUUCUAACGUGGACCCGUAAUCCGGGUUGCGGACAGUGUCUGGUGGGUAGUUUGACUGGGGCGGUCUCCUCCUAAAGAGUAACGGAGGAGCACGAAGGUUGGCUAAUCCUGGUCGGACAUCAGGAGGUUAGUGCAAUGGCAUAAGCCAGCUUGACUGCGAGCGUGACGGCGCGAGCAGGUGCGAAAGCAGGUCAUAGUGAUCCGGUGGUUCUGAAUGGAAGGGCCAUCGCUCAACGGAUAAAAGGUACUCCGGGGAUAACAGGCUGAUACCGCCCAAGAGUUCAUAUCGACGGCGGUGUUUGGCACCUCGAUGUCGGCUCAUCACAUCCUGGGGCUGAAGUAGGUCCCAAGGGUAUGGCUGUUCGCCAUUUAAAGUGGUACGCGAGCUGGGUUUAGAACGUCGUGAGACAGUUCGGUCCCUAUCUGCCGUGGGCGCUGGAGAACUGAGGGGGGCUGCUCCUAGUACGAGAGGACCGGAGUGGACGCAUCACUGGUGUUCGGGUUGUCAUGCCAAUGGCACUGCCCGGUAGCUAAAUGCGGAAGAGAUAAGUGCUGAAAGCAUCUAAGCACGAAACUUGCCCCGA